GAUGAAGAACGCAGCGAAAUGCGAUACUUGGUGUGAAUUGCAGAAUCCCGUGAACCAUCGAGUCUUUGAACGCAAGUUGCGCCCGAAGCCAUCAGGUUGAGGGCACGUCUGCCUGGGCGUCACAUAUCGUUGCUCGAUGCCUAUCGCAUUGCGAUAGGACUUAGGGCGAAUGAUGGCUUCCCGUGAGCGUUGUUGCCUCGCGGUUGGUUGAAAAUCGAGUCCUUGGUAGGGUGUGCCAUGAUAGAUGGUGGUCGAGUUAGAACGAGACCGAUCAUGUGCAUGCUCCCCAAAAUAUGGCCUCUGUGACCCACACGCGUCUUUUGACGCUCAUGACGAGACCUCAGGUCAGGCGGGGCUACCCGCUGAAUUUAAGCAUAUCAAUAAGCGGAGGA
This 392-nucleotide unclassified non-coding RNA is filed under the name soil metagenome. RNAcentral describes it as "partial contains 5.8S ribosomal RNA, internal transcribed spacer 2, and large subunit ribosomal RNA". The stretch from base 1 to 122 matches the Rfam family "5.8S ribosomal RNA", at positions 35 to 154 of the family's 154-position model. The record is from RNAcentral.